GGAUUGUUAGUUUAAGUUAGUAAAAUACUGGUUUUGUAUACACCUCCCCUUAAAUAAAUCAGAGAUGUGAGUUCGAAUCUCACACAAUCCU
This 91-nucleotide transfer RNA is filed under the name Clostridium botulinum BKT015925. RNAcentral describes it as "tRNA-Und (NNN) (tRNA-Und-NNN-1-1)". It matches the Rfam family "tRNA". Rfam says of the family: Transfer RNA (tRNA) molecules are approximately 80 nucleotides in length. RNAcentral also lists the same sequence under 2 other names. Lineage: Bacteria; Bacillati; Bacillota; Clostridia; Eubacteriales; Clostridiaceae. The record is from RNAcentral.